GCAAACUUGGUCAUUUAGAGGAAGUAAAAGUCGUAACAAGGUUUCCGUAGGUGAACCUGCGGAAGGAUCAUUACCGAGAUUGGCUGAGCAUCUUGGGCUAUUGCGCAAGAUGUAAACCAGUCCUUGUACCAGUCCCUUUGUGAACAGAGGAGACCGUGGUCGUCUUGUGCCUAAUUGGAAGGCUUGGAUGUUCACGGCUUCCGUUUUUCAUCUCUCUUUUUUAUUGCUUAAGCCAACAUUUAUGUUGAAAAUGAGCUGUCUCUGCUGAUGCUUUGCGUCUUGUUGGUACUGGACCCGGUUCCGUAACAACAACCGCAAUAAGAAAGCCAAAUGGGAAAAAUAACUUUCAGCAACGGAUCUCUUGGCUCUCGCAUCGAUGAAGAACGCAGC
RNAcentral lists this unclassified non-coding RNA (390 nucleotides) under uncultured fungus. RNAcentral's name for it is "partial contains small subunit ribosomal RNA, internal transcribed spacer 1, and 5.8S ribosomal RNA". The stretch from base 1 to 73 matches the Rfam family "Eukaryotic small subunit ribosomal RNA", at positions 1759 to 1831 of the family's 1831-position model. Lineage: Eukaryota; Fungi. The record is from RNAcentral.